Cyprinus carpio (common carp) is the source of this 537-nucleotide long non-coding RNA. The record is from Ensembl. Lineage: Eukaryota; Metazoa; Chordata; Actinopteri; Cypriniformes; Cyprinidae.
UUUCUGUAAAAGCGAAAUACAGUUUUGAAUUAGGUCAAUAAAUAUCUGGAGGAGUAUCAUCUGAACUGAGAUCUGCUGCUGUGAAGAUGAUGUUUGUUAAAGAGGAGAGUGAAGCGAACACGAGUGAACCAGAAACCUGGAGAAUAAAACAAGAGGAACCAGAAACCUGGAGAAUAAAACAUGAGGAACAAGGAGGACAGUGAGGCAGCAAAUGACAGACUAAUCCACUUUCUGAAGCUUGGAUUACCCCAGGAAACCAUCAGUAACAUUUCAGGUGUCACUCAUACAACUAUCGUUCUUCGGAUGAGAGAAUGUGGCUGGCCAGUAUCAGAAUCCAAUAAGUAACCCUGAGACGGAGUAUUCAGACUCAAUGACAGUUGAACAAGAUGGUGGAGAUGCUGACCAUGUUCAUGUAAUUUUGACAGCAAGGUUGUAAAUGUGUAUAUAUAGUUGUAUAUUAAGUAGAACUUGUGGGGGGAAAAAAACUUAAGACAUAUGUAAAAUAAAGACAGACUCUGAAAAAUAAUUUAAUUUAUU